UACGGAGGGUGCGAGCGUUGUCCGGAAUCACUGGGCGUAAAGGGCGCGUAGGCGGCGCGAGCAGUCGGCGGUGAAAGCCCGGGGCUCAACUCCGGGUCGGCCGUUGAUACUCUCGUGCUCGAGCACUGUAGAGGCAGAUGGAAUUCCGGGUGUAGCGGUGGAAUGCGUAGAGAUCCGGAAGAACACCGGUGGCGAAGGCGGUCUGCUGGGCAGUAGCUGACGCUGAUGCGCGACAGCGUGGGGAGCAAACAGG
This 253-nucleotide ribosomal RNA is filed under the name uncultured bacterium. RNAcentral's name for it is "partial 16S ribosomal RNA". It matches the Rfam family "Bacterial small subunit ribosomal RNA", at positions 524 to 776 of the family's 1533-position model. The record is from RNAcentral.